This 827-nucleotide ribosomal RNA is filed under the name uncultured Pseudomonadota bacterium. RNAcentral's name for it is "bacterial SSU rRNA". It matches the Rfam family "Bacterial small subunit ribosomal RNA", at positions 58 to 862 of the family's 1533-position model. The record is from RNAcentral. Lineage: Bacteria; Pseudomonadati; Pseudomonadota.
CAAGUCGAACGCGAAAGUGGAGCAAUCCAUGAGUAGAGUGGCAAACGGGUGAGUAACGCGUGGGUGACCUGCCUUCGAGUGGGGGAUAACGUUCCGAAAGGGACGCUAAUACCGCAUGACAUCCAGCCUUUGAAGAGGCGGAGAUCAAAGCCGGGGAUCGCAAGACCUGGCGCUCGAUGAGGGGCCCGCGUCUGAUUAGCUAGUUGGUGGGGUAACGGCUCACCAAGGCAACGAUCAGUAUCCGGCCUGAGAGGGCGGACGGACACACUGGGACUGAGACACGGCCCAGACUCCUACGGGAGGCAGCAGUGGGGAAUUGUUCGCAAUGGGCGCAAGCCUGACGACGCAACGCCGCGUGGAGGAUGAAGAUCUUCGGGUCGUAAACUCCUUUCGAUCGAGACGAAUAGCUUCCGGGUAAACAAUCCGGAGGUUUGACGGUACCGAGAGAAGAAGCCCCGGCUAACUCCGUGCCAGCAGCCGCGGUAAUACGGGGGGGGCAAGCGUUGUUCGGAAUUACUGGGCGUAAAGGGCUCGUAGGCGGCCAACUAAGUCAGACGUGAAAUCCCUCGGCUUAACCGGGGAACUGCGUCUGAUACUGGAUGGCUUGAGUUUGGGAGAGGGAUGCGGAAUUCCAGGUGUAGCGGUGAAAUGCGUAGAUAUCUGGAGGAACACCGGUGGCGAAGGCGGCAUCCUGGACCAACACUGACGCUGAGUGAGCGAAAGCCAGGGGAGCAAACGGGAUUAGAUACCCCGGUAGUCCUGGCCCUAAACGAUGAAUGCUUGGUGUGGCGGGUAUCGAUCCCUGCCGUGCCGAAGCUAACGCAUUA